AGUUGAACAUCUUAAGGGGUUAAGGCAUAUGGAAUCGUUCGACAGUCUAGUACAGCUCAAAAUGCAUCCCUCAAUGGGACACCCUAAGAGUCAAGUUAAAGAAACAGAUAAUUUGUUUUGGAAUCCCUGAUGUAGGCCAAAGGAAUAGGAUGAUUUUGUGUUGUAUCUUUAUGGUUACUCCACUCUCAUGUUCUGUUUUUCUUUUCCAGGAUUGUUCUGUGCUUCAUUAUUUUACUUCUGGCUGUUGAUUGUUCCAAGCUUAUUAAGAUUUGAUGACACAAGUUUUGCGGUGUUAUAAUAUUCUUACCUGCAAACUGUUAUGGCAAUUAGCAGGUCAAGGAGUUCUUUGAGUUGAAAUUUGGCGAUUCACCAUACAUUCAAAACUUGUAAGGAUUAGUAUGGAUGAAAUGGCAAAAUUUUAAUCACCAUAAAAAAGUUGAACAUCCCCUACCUUGGAAGGAGGAUGUUUUAACUGUCCUCCUUGCUGUAUAUAGGUAGUAGGUGGUGUUCGCAAUAACCAUGAAACUAGAUUUGGGAAGUUCAGCAGGGGUCGAGAAGACUGUUCUCCAUCUUAAAGCUCACACCCUUCAAAGUAUUGACUCUGGCAAAAGCCACAUGAUAGUCAUAUUAGUGGUAGGAGUAUUUUGGUGAAGGUCUAUGUUGGGAGAUGAUUUUUGUGCGCAAACAAGGUUGUUGUUAUGUGGUAGAAGGCAGACAGUAGUUGAAGGGGUUUUGGUUCUGAUUUUCAUUUAUUUUACAUUUUUAUUUUGAAUUUCCGAUAUUUUCA
This 787-nucleotide long non-coding RNA is filed under the name Gossypium barbadense (sea-island cotton). Its description in RNAcentral is "long non-coding RNA (GBAR_LNC004813)". The record is from RNAcentral. Lineage: Eukaryota; Viridiplantae; Streptophyta; Magnoliopsida; Malvales; Malvaceae.